UAUAGAGGAAUAAUGAAAAAUUAUGUAUGUAAUAUACUUAAUAUUUAGAAGUGAUUUCAUUGCAUUAAAUGAUAUAUAAUUUGCUUCACAUUAAUGUUACUUUUUUUUUGUAUAAAGCCAAGAGGUUGGUUUGUCAGCACAGUAUCCUAAGGCGAACUGGCCUAGUGUUAUUUGUGAAAUAUUUUAAUAUUAUGUUGUAUCAAGUGUGCAAGUGAAGACUGAAACAAAAAUAAAAAAUUUACAAAAAAAGACUAUGAACAUUAGAGACACAAACAAUAAUUUCAGAAGUGUUUUUAAAUUUUACACAAGAAAUAUAAAAUUAAUAAAAUUCUUUACGAAUAAUAUUAAGGGCUUCAAUUCCAUCAUUUUGAUUUGUAUCUGGAUCUAUCGGAGAUAUUUCAUAAGGUGAUUUGUUGAGAUCCAAAGAGGAUGCAGCACGAAGUCUUCAGAAAACAAAAAUCUUAUAUCUAUGUAGCUUAUAAACUUCACAGCAUUGUGUAAAUUCUCAAUCAUAGUCUUGGAAUUUUUCACA
Molecule: long non-coding RNA, 532 nt
Organism: Daktulosphaira vitifoliae (grape phylloxera)
Lineage: Eukaryota; Metazoa; Arthropoda; Insecta; Hemiptera; Phylloxeridae
Exons: 5
Source: RefSeq, a predicted model, not a curated record